CCCUUAGACGUUCUGGGCCGCACGCGCGCUACACUGACCGGUGCAACAAGCAUCCGUCCUUGGCCGACAGGCUCGGGCAAUCUUUGAACGCUGGUCGUGAUGGGGAUAGACUUUUGCAAUUUUUGGUCUUCAACGAGGAAUUCCUAGUAAACGCAAGUCAUCAACUUGCAUUGAUUACGUCCCUGCCCUUUGUACACACCGCCCGUCGCACCUACCGAUUGAAUGGUCCGGUGAAGCCUCCGGAUUGGCGCGCACCUCGGUGCCGCCGAGAAGUUGGCUAAACCUUACCAUUUAGAGGAAGGUGAAGUCGUAACA
Molecule: ribosomal RNA, 315 nt
Filed under: uncultured eukaryote
Lineage: Eukaryota
Description: partial 18S ribosomal RNA
Rfam family: Eukaryotic small subunit ribosomal RNA
Source: RNAcentral